RNAcentral lists this ribosomal RNA (257 nucleotides) under uncultured prokaryote. RNAcentral describes it as "partial 16S ribosomal RNA". It matches the Rfam family "Bacterial small subunit ribosomal RNA", at positions 524 to 780 of the family's 1533-position model. The record is from RNAcentral.
UACGGAGGAUGCGAGCGUUAUCCGGAUUUAUUGGGUUUAAAGGGUGCGUAGGCGGCCAUUUAAGUCAGCGGUGAAAUUUUGCAGCUUAACUGUAACAGUGCCGUUGAUACUGUUUGGCUAGGAUUUGGUUGUAGUGUGCGGAAUGUGUGGUGUAGCGGUGAAAUGCUUAGAUAUCACACAGAACACCGAUUGCGAAGGCAGCUCACAAAGCCAUAUCUGACGUUGAGGCACGAAAGCGUGGGGAGCAAACAGGAUUA